RNAcentral lists this ribosomal RNA (305 nucleotides) under uncultured bacterium. RNAcentral describes it as "partial 16S ribosomal RNA". It matches the Rfam family "Bacterial small subunit ribosomal RNA", at positions 508 to 809 of the family's 1533-position model. The record is from RNAcentral.
ACAGCAGUAGCCGCGGUAAUACAGAGGGUGCGAGCGUUAAUCGGAUUUACUGGGCGUAAAGCGUGCGUAGGCGGCUUCUUAAGUCGGAUGUGAAAUCCCUGAGCUUAACUUAGGAAUUGCAUUCGAUACUGGGAAGCUAGAGUAUGGGAGAGGAUGGUAGAAUUCCAGGUGUAGCGGUGAAAUGCGUAGAGAUCUGGAGGAAUACCGAUGGCGAAGGCAGCCAUCUGGCCUAAUACUGACGCUGAGGUACGAAAGCAUGGGGAGCAAACAGGAUUAGAUACCCCAGUAGUCCCUGUCUCUUAUAA